ACUCCGCAGGCUCCACCUAAACCCUAACCCAGCAAUCGCUCGCUGUAUAACUGCCCCUCCACAGAGAUCAUAUCAUCGCCGCCGAAGAGAAGCCCUUCCAGCCUCCAGCGUACUGCCCCAUCACGAUCUCUCCCAUCUUUGCACGGCAAGAUCUAUUGUAGUAUUCGUUUUGAUCUAUUUUUGCACCUUUUGCAUCUGUCGAUGGCAGUGACGAUUUGCAAAUAUUCAAGCUCAACAGACCAAAUCACAGGUCUUCUCUUUGUUUUGAGUUGAUUUGUAUGCCGAUUAUCCCGCUGAACCGAGCCAUCUGUCACCUGUUUUUCUCCUCCGGAUCUGUGUCCUUGCUUCCUUUCUUUCUGUAAUUUUGUUUGGAGGACGAUGUUACGAUGAGGAUAACAAGCUCCCUCUUCUGAAAGCAUUGAUGACAAUCGCCGGCAGAAUCGAACCUAAUAAACAUUGCCACCACUGAGUAACUAUGUCGCGUCCUCAAAUCUUUUUUAUUUUUGGCUCUUGAUUGUUCGUUUGCCUUUACCCACUUCAUAUCUACCAGAUCUAUUUGGAUAGUGAGGAGGUAAUCAUGCAUAUCCAACACUUGAUCCGAGGUUGGCUUGAGCCGGCCGUAUGAUGUCAUCUUUGCAUCUGAAUCCAUAUGAGAUCAGUGAUUUUUAUGUUUGCUGUUUUCGCUUUUGCUUGAUUUCUUCGGUAUCAGAGGACGAAAUCUCGAAAUAAUCUUAGGACACCUUCUGACACAGUGCCUAUUUUCCUGUGAAUGAGAAGGCAUUUAUAUUCUGAUGAUACCGGGCUUUUCCAAAUCUUCUUUUUGUCGUUUUAAUAAUUUUAUUUGUAUCAGCAGUUUAAAGCCCAUGAUGAUUAGCUUUAUGUUGGAAUUACCGUCAGAUUCCAAAUGACGAUAUUUUUGCGGCUUUCUGAGGCAUAAUAAACUGAAUACUACUAUCAAUUUUACUGUCUUGAUCAACAAUUUGAAUUUUGUUGAAAAUUGUUCCAUCUUACAAUAUCCUGGUGAGGAGCUCGGACCAUAGGAAGUGCCGUAUGACACUGUAAACAACAGCUGCUUCUCUCCACUGCAACUGUCCUGCCUUCGAUCAUUACCUUUGUGGUUUGGUCAGGUCCGGAGUCUCCAUUUGCAGCUGGAUAGAUUCAGAUGUGUGCGUGAUUUUAAGCGGGUCACUGAGGGAUUCUGUCUUGGUUCCUUGGAUGUCUGAGGCGUAAUCCAUGAAGCAAACUUCCGAUGCUAUUCAUACCAUCCGCUGUUAGAGUGUCUUCUGGAUUGCAGCUGGACAAGGCAACAUGGGCGAGCUUCUUAAGCUCUACCUACCGAAGCACGGGCCAUGUGUCACAGGCUUCAUGAGAUUGGGCUAUAAGAGCAUCCCCACUCGUUGGCGCUCCCCACACCCAAAUCCGGACGAAACAACUGCCGGAUUGGACGAAAUUAAGUCGUGGGGAGUACCGUAUUUGCAGUCGUCCACCCGGAGUUCGGCGGACAUAGUUUAAAUUCAAACAAAGCGCCGUCCUGCGCUACAAGUACGGCCAGUUGAUCGGCAAAAGGAGCAAAAGGAUCAGCUAUAGAUCGGCGAUCGGAGGGAAAUUACACGGAAACAGGCUCGUCGGCAGUCCCGGCCGGCACGGCGGUGUCCGACGGACCAGUUUCCUCACACGCCGUGGCAUAAGCGGCUGCGGCAGCCGACGAGGAAGCAGCGGCAGUGGACGUCGAAGCAGCCGCAGUCGACGAGGUAGAUGGUGAGGAAGCCGAGGUAGGAGCCGGCGGAGACGACGAAGGAGUGGCCGGAGUGGCUCGGAGGAUGUCGCUGCGGUGGCCCUGGUACCAAUUCCUUGUCUCCUCGUCCAUCAGUUCCAUGUCGCCGCCGCCAAUCAGGAACGCCAAGUAUGUGUUCCUCUUCUUCGCCGCCGCCGUCGUCUUCAGCAGGGCGAUCCGGACGCCUUGGUUGGCGAGCAUCUCCCGCCACCUGCUGUCGAACUUGUCGUUCCUCCCGUCGGCGUGCGACCUCAAGUCGGCCCAGCACUUGUCGAUCGACGCCUGCAUCCUGUCGGCGGGAUUGUCCGUCCGUUUGAGCUCUUUGAGCUUCUUCUGGCCGAGUUCAGGGCGCCCUUUCGCCGCGCAAGCCGCCGGAGCGUCGGGGUUGUACUGCUCGGUCUUGCUCUUCGAGAGGGUCGUGCGAGUUUCCUUCCACUUCUCGUAGUUCUCGAGGCGGGCGUAGACGUUGAGGAACUUGAACUGCAGGCCGGUGUAGUCCAUGUACAUGUCCAAAGCUCGGCGCAGCUGGGGAAAAAAGAGCACGGCGAUACGGGUCAGCUAACGACGAUAUACCUCGGUGAUGCAGGGUCGAUGGAGCAUACCUCGGUCAGCUAACGACGAUAUACCUCGUGGCCGCUGAUCGGCCUUUUUUCGACCUCCUCCUGUAUGCCGUGCCAUUUGUUGCACGCCGUCUGCAUGAUCCCCCAAUAGGUGGCCAUUGCUUUGUCUCCCCGGUACACGUUCAUGUUCGUCUUGUUGAAGUAGGGAUCGACGAGUUUGCGUUCCUCGUACGCCUGCCUCACUCGAAGCCAAUAUGUGUCGAACGACUGAUUGGCCCCGAUUAUUCCGUUCGUGGACACGGUCAUUCAAGUUUCGGCGAGGCACUCCUCUUCCUUCGGCGUCCAUUUGAUACGCGGUUCGGCAGGCGGCGAGUCCUUCCUCUUCUUCUUCCCCUUCGACAGGUUGGCGGCGGCUUGAGUUGGCUCUUCUUCUUCCUCGUCUUCUUCUUCGACGGCUUGGCUUCCGUCGGCAACAUCCUCCCGAUGCUCGUUGCGCGCUGCCGUCGCCCUCGCCUCCUCUUGCAUGAAGAACCCCGGGCACGCAGCAGCGGCGGCCAUGAAGAACCCCGGGCUCGCAGCGGCGGCCAUGGAGCCGGAGGUGAUCAUCUCGUGGAUCUCCUCUUCGUUCGGCGCCGCCAUCGCACAACGGGAGCGGCCCUCGUCGCAGGGCCGGCGAGGUGCCCUCGAACUGGCCGCCACCACAGACGUCAAGCUCGGGCGGCGACGACGUGGACCUGGACGGUUGAACGUAGGCGCCCUCUUGGAACACGGCAGUCGGCGACGGCGAGUACAGCGAAGGGGAGAAGGACGACGGGGAACUGGUUGUACCUUUCGUCUUCUUCGCCCGCGGCUUCCUCGCCGGCGCCUUCGGCGGCAUUGUGGUGGACGAGAAGACGAGGAGGAGAGUGGUGGUGGACGAGAGGACGCCGCCAGGAACUGGAACUGGAAGACGAGGAGAAUGGUCAAAUUCGGCGGGAGAGAAUGGCCAAAUUCGGCGGGAGAGAAUGGGGAUAUGCAAGCAAAUUGGAGGGAAUGGGGAUAUGCAAGCAAAUUGGAGGGAAAAUCGACAGGAUUUGAUUUUCCUGUCGCCGACUACGCGGGUCCACACGACGUUUCGCGCCAAAAUCUUUCGUCCGGAGUCCCUGAGCGCGCCCCGGGGGGCCGGGGAUGGCGUGGGCUCGCCGGAUGGAUGAAGGGCCAAAUCCGGACGAAAACGAGGAACCGGGGGCGCGACUACGCCGUCCGGAUGUAAAAAAAGCUCGCCCGGGGCCUGUUCGGGGGGACGAGUGGAGAUGCUCUAAGAUCGGCAUGUUUGAAAUGAAUUCGCCUGUCACGUAACAUGGUGACAUUGAUGAAGACUUUGAUAUUCCAUGCUUUUUAGCUUAAGGCAAAUUAAGUUUCUGUGUCUAGGUUUCCAAGCUGGAUAAACUGGAAGCUGCUUCAGAGCUUGAAAGGACUCACCUUCAUUUUGUUGCUUCAGUCUCCUGCAAAACAAUGGAAAAAUGUUGCACUGUAUAGGAAACUGAAAUUCUAUGUACUUCGAUUCCUGUGAAAAAACUGAUUACAUCUUUCCAACUGUCGAUGGAAUACACACUCCUUGUUUUUGACCUUCGGCAAAUUUGCAUCACAAAUUCCUUAAAUUUGUAACUGUGGU
Non-coding RNA from Lolium perenne, 3988 nucleotides. The record is from RefSeq and is a predicted model, not a curated record. NCBI's taxonomy places the organism in Eukaryota, Viridiplantae, Streptophyta, Magnoliopsida, Poales, Poaceae.